Molecule: long non-coding RNA, 1237 nt
Organism: Ctenopharyngodon idella (grass carp)
Lineage: Eukaryota; Metazoa; Chordata; Actinopteri; Cypriniformes; Xenocyprididae
Exons: 2
Source: RefSeq, a predicted model, not a curated record
CAGAAGAGACCAAAAACGGUUUCGUAGAAGUAAAUCAGCUAUUCGCAGUAACAGCAGCUGAAUAAAAUCAAAGAGCUUAGAACCCAAGGCUGCGUUCGAAACCGCCCACUUCUCUACUAUUUAGUAGGGGAAAAGCAGUAGGCGAGCGAAUAAGUAUGUCAGAAACCUCAGUAAUAAAAGAGUAGUCGAGAAGUUCCCGGAUGGCCUACUGCUCCCGCCCAGAUUCUGAAGUGCUCCUCGAUGGACACUCUUCUAUCCCAGGAGGCCACGGGAGAGGAUACGUCAUAAUCGACACGGAGGAGAAAAGCGGCGCGGAUGCUUUCAAAUGGACAGAUGAUCACGUGUGUUUAUCCGGUGGAGAGAGACUGAUGAAGGACUGAUGCCAUCAAAGGCUUUGAGUGACGAUAGUCACCCGAUUAAUACUGAGAUUCUAGAUGUUUUUAUUUAAAAAGGCUUAAAAGAGGUGUAGCGAGGAAUUUCACUACAAUGUAGGGGUGAGUUUAACUUCAGCUGCAAUAUAUCUUGGAUGACUAGGCAUUGACAAGAUCUAGGUCCUCACCCCCUAGUACGAUUAAUUCCCGUACUUAUAUAUAUAUAUAUAUAUAUAUAUAAGUAUGUUGUUGUCUGCCUUGCUAAUGUUGCUUUUGUCUUUUGUAGCAGCGACUGAUGAGGAUUGAGGCUCUGGAACUUAACAUACACGGUAGCUCCCCAGAGUAUAACAGUGUUGAUUAACCCCUCUUCCCCUCUUCAGACCACAAGACAGUAGGAAUGCCCCUACUCCAAGAUAUCAAAGUUUUACACUUAUUUCUUAAAUGUUUAGCAGAAUUAAACAAAAUAAAGAAAACAACAGUCCUGAAAUAAAUUCUUUGUUUCACUCUAUUUUUUAUAUAUUUCUUGAAAAAUCAUAAGAAAGUUUUGUUCAGAUUCAAACUUUUGUUCAGUUUCUUCUCUUUCAACAGUAAUACUCAAAAUCAGAAAAACAACAACAGUUCUGAUAGAAUGCUCAGAUGGUACUCAGUUCACUCAAAAGUACAUUACAGAUGUUUCAUUCCAUAUCAGAUAUUUCCAGUUCACAUACCUGAGUGAGAUUCACAACCCCAAAGUUAAAGUUUUACCUCACAGUAGAACUGGGCUGGUGUUGGAGUGUCCAGAUAUGGCAGGGUAAUUAAAUCAAACAAAUAGCCACCUGUUCAAAAACAGAAAGUCCCUUCCGUUUCUUCAACGACAGGAAAAAUAA